AGUGAACGCUGGCGGUAGGCCUAACACAUGCCAGUCGAACGGCAGCACAGUAAGAGCUUGCUCUUACGGGUGGCGAGUGGCGGACGGGUGAGGAAUACAUCGGAAUCUACUUUUUCGUGGGGGAUAACGUAGGGAAACUUACGCUAAUGCCGCAUACGACCUACGGGUGAAAGCAGGGGAUCUUCGGACCUUGCGCGAUUGAAUGAGCCGAUGUCGGAUUAGCUAGUUGGCGGGGUAAAGGCCCACCAAGGCGACGAUCCGUAGCUGGUCUGAGAGGAUGAUCAGCCACACUGGAACUGAGACACGGUCCAGACUCCUACGGGAGGCAGCAGUGGGGAAUAUUGGACAAUGGGCGCAAGCCUGAUCCAGCCAGACCGCGUGGGUGAAGAAGGCCUUCGGGUUGUAAAGCCCUUUUGUUGGGAAAGAAAAGCAGCAGGUUAAUACCCCGCUGUCCUGACGGUACCCAAAGAAUAAGCACCGGCUAACUUCGU
This 491-nucleotide ribosomal RNA is filed under the name uncultured bacterium. Its description in RNAcentral is "partial 16S ribosomal RNA". It matches the Rfam family "Bacterial small subunit ribosomal RNA", at positions 29 to 506 of the family's 1533-position model. The record is from RNAcentral.